CAGCAGCCGCGGUAAGACGAACCGUGCGAACGUUAUUCGGAAUCACUGGGCUUAAAGCGCGUGUAGGCGGGAGGGCACGUCCGUCGCUGAAAUCCCCCGGCUCAACCGGGGAACGGGCGCGGAUACGACUCUUCUGGAGGAACGUAGGGGGACCUGGAACUUCCGGUGGAGCGGUGAAAUGCGUUGAGAUCGGAAGGAACGCCCGUGGCGAAAGCGAGGUCCUGGACGUUUACUGACGCUGAGACGCGAAAGCCAGGGGAGCGAACGGGAUUAGAUACCCCUGUAGUCCCUGUCUCUUAUA
This 301-nucleotide ribosomal RNA is filed under the name uncultured bacterium. RNAcentral's name for it is "partial 16S ribosomal RNA". It matches the Rfam family "Bacterial small subunit ribosomal RNA", at positions 509 to 807 of the family's 1533-position model. The record is from RNAcentral.